Molecule: ribosomal RNA, 254 nt
Filed under: uncultured bacterium
Lineage: Bacteria
Description: partial 16S ribosomal RNA
Rfam family: Bacterial small subunit ribosomal RNA
Source: RNAcentral
GACGGAGGAUGCAAGUGUUAUCCGGAAUCACUGGGCGUAAAGCGUCUGUAGGUGGUUUAAUAAGUCAACUGUUAAAUCUUGAGGCUCAACCUCAAAAUCGCAGUCGAAACUAUUAGGCUAGAGUAUAGUAGGGGUAAAGGGAAUUUCCAGUGGAGCGGUGAAAUGACGUAGAGAUUGGAAAGAACACCGAUGGCGAAGGCACUUUACUGGGCCGACACUGACACUGAGAGACGAAAGCUAGGGGAGCGAAUGGG